AAAAAGACAAACCCUGGAUUUCCGUGUUCAACAUUUGACUGUUCGUCUUAUAUGAAAUUUUUUUAUAAUUAGUAUUUUCAUUGUUGUUAGAUGAUAAAACAUGAUUAAUACUUUAUGCGUGACUUGUCUUUUUAAUUUUUUUCAUAAUUUUUUCAAAUAAGACGGAUGAUAAAACUUGGACACGGAAACCCAGUGUUUGUCUUUUU
Molecule: microRNA precursor, 206 nt
Organism: Oryza sativa Indica Group (long-grained rice)
Lineage: Eukaryota; Viridiplantae; Streptophyta; Magnoliopsida; Poales; Poaceae
Rfam family: MIR812 microRNA precursor family
Source: Rfam